GUGGGGAAUCUUCUGCAAUGGACGAAAGUCUGACGGAGCAACGCCGCGUGAGUGAAGAAGGUUUUCGGAUCGUAAAGCUCUUUCGUUAGGGACGAACGUGCUCUUUGUGAAUAAUGAGGAGUAAUGACGGUACCUAAAUAAGAAGCCACGGCUAACUACGUGCCAGCAGCCGCGGUAAUACGUAGGUGGCAAGCGUUGUCCGGAAUUAUUGGGCGUAAAGCGCGCGCAGGCGGGAUAUCAAGUCUGUCUUAAAAGUGCGAGGCUCAACCUCGUGAGGGGACAGAAACUGGUAUUCUUGAGUGUCGGAGAGGAAAGUGGAAUUCCAAGUGUAGCGGUGAAAUGCGUAGAGAUUUGGAAGAACACCAGUGGCGAAGGCGACUUUCUGGACGAUGUCUGACGCUGAGGCGCGAAAGCUAGGGGAGCGAACGGGAUUAGAAACCCGGGUAGUCC
RNAcentral lists this ribosomal RNA (450 nucleotides) under uncultured bacterium. RNAcentral describes it as "partial 16S ribosomal RNA". It matches the Rfam family "Bacterial small subunit ribosomal RNA", at positions 354 to 796 of the family's 1533-position model. The record is from RNAcentral.